CAGGCCUGACGAGUGCUUGCGCAUUGCGCAUGCCAUUUCUUUCUGACAGGAAUCAUUCCGCCACAAGCGAACGAGCCUGGGCUGGCCUUGUGGAAGCCUAGCCGAGGCCUCAGAAUAUGGAUGAGAUCAUCUGAGACCAUCCACCCCAGGAAGCCAGCAAAGUGGCUAGAACCCGCCAUACCACCGCAGAAUCACGAUUGCUGUUCUGAGUCACUACAUUUCAGGUGACUUGUUGAGCAGCAAACGAGCUGACGAACCUAAAGUCAGAAGAUGCUAGCGGAAGAAACAGGACCCAGAACUCCAUUGGAAAAUGGGGUAUACAGACUUCGAGGAUGCCAGACAAAAAGAUCAUUUGAAAUAUUGUUGUCACUAAGCCUUCUUUGAUCAAGACACCAUGAGCUCAUGGAACUGGUCCUCUGAAGACAGUGUCUGCAAUGAAGCUGAGUCCUCUCUCUCUCCCAGGCCCGAGUGUCUACCUCUAAUUUAUUCCUGAUGAAUGACAGCAAGUUCACAGCCUCAGGCUAAUGGAAGCACGACAGUGAGCAAGACAGACAAGGUCACUACCCGCAAGGAGCUGUUGAUGGAGAAUAACAUGCAAAGAAGAAGGUAAGAAACUGACCAGAUUGCUUACUGUGAGUGGGAAGGUGGUGAAAAAGUUACAGGUGGAGAGUGCUGAAAAGAGCAAAGAACACAGUAAGAGACGUGAGUAUGGAAACAUGGAGGUAGUAACAGACACCAUUAGGAGAACAGCAGGGGUUGAAGAUCAUGAAUUUACAGUAAAUCAA
This 785-nucleotide long non-coding RNA is filed under the name Homo sapiens (human). Its description in RNAcentral is "HSALNT0333167". Lineage: Eukaryota; Metazoa; Chordata; Mammalia; Primates; Hominidae. The record is from RNAcentral.